GAGGAGAAGUAGGCCUCCCAGAGCAUCUGUGUACGCUGUCUCAGAGCCAGCACCCUGUCAAUGCCCACAGCCCGCACCGUGGAAGGUACCUGAGGGGACAAAGUGACAAAGAACUCACCGAAAAGUGAAAUUCGAGUUCUUCACACGAAGGUCUGUUACCUGUAGCAACAGUCUCUCGUCGCCCUCGACGACUGCCUGGUUCCACUGGAUGACAUCAGAGAAAGGAAUACUGUGAGACCCGCUCAAUUGGAUGCCUUCAAGACCUCAAUAAAAUACUAACAAAAGGAAUGUGUCACAAUUCAGGAUGUUAAAUGUAGUGGCAGCAGUCUGUUUGCUACAGGAGAACAACAGGCUUCCCAUUCCUCUUCGUUUUCUGUCUCAGCUAAAGAGCAAAGAGCUGGAUGGGUUUCUUGCCAAUCUCUUGCUCUACUUUUCUUGUUACUUUGAAAAAAAGCUCUGGAGGAAAGACCGAAUCUCUCAUGGGAGAGGACACUGAGAGGCGUGUGCUAAGGUGGAGCUGGCACAAAAGCAGCUUGCCCUCCGUCACUUCAGGCUGCUGCUGGGGAUAGAUCUGCCUCAACAGCACCAUAUGGCUUUUGACAGGAUCAAGGUGUCAUCCACUCACUGUGACAUACAACUAUACGAGGAAGUCAAACCGGUUCCUGGCCCUGAGAAAAAUCAUAACCCAGCAUUCCCCUCUGAUGGCCUCUCUGCUGCUUACUCCACAAGAAAAGGCCUCUCACCUGUUUGGGGGCUUCAGACGUCUUAAAAGUGUCCUCAACUUAACGCAUUGAUUUAGAAGCUGUGAUCGAAGGGUCUUAUAGAGCAGCUAAAAUCACUUCAAGGGAUACU
Molecule: long non-coding RNA, 852 nt
Organism: Onychostoma macrolepis
Lineage: Eukaryota; Metazoa; Chordata; Actinopteri; Cypriniformes; Cyprinidae
Exons: 8
Source: RefSeq, a predicted model, not a curated record